UUUCUUUUGUCUGACAAGAUUUGAAAAGAAAAAAUGCUCAAAAGUAUGGUGGAGCAAUGAUCUUGACUUGGAUAUUUUGGAAAAGUCAAUACAUAAUAUAUGUUCAUUUGAGAAAAAAAAAACACAUUCCCCUGCUCCCUCUACUCUUUCUUCUUCGAGAUGAAGAAAACCCUAACUUCAAAACACUAGUCACCAGCUUCACUUUCUGUUUCCCUCUCUCGUGACCGAGCAGCGGCGAUCGGAGAAGCUCCGAUGAACACCCACCUAAACCCACCUCCUCUCUUUCACACUCUUACACUGUAACCCCUCUCUCCCCCUCGCGACAGACCGGCAGCGACGAGAUCUCCGACAAACCCACAUCCACUCUGUCUCGUUUUCUCCGACACCGACACCGGCAACGACACCCCCCCACUGUCUCUUGCAACUCCGACGACCAGAGUAUACGUCAGCCAUUAAUCGGAGAGGUGACUAUGAUGAUGAUGAUACGAUCACGAUGAUCAUGAUAGGCUGAUGUUGGUGAUAGAUUGAUAUGAUAACAGAGAUGUUGGUGGCGGAUCGGAGGCGCCGACGACUGUGAGGCGCCGUUUUUCCGGUGAGUUUCUUUUUUUUAUAGUUUAUUUAGUUAUUUUUCCUUCACCUCCGGGUAUAGCGUCUCGACUGAUGUGCAUUUUGUAUGAUGAUGACGAUGUUACGUCUUUGAGGGUGUUAUGGCAGAAAACGCCGCCGCCGGCGGUGGUCGAGCCGGCCAACAACAGUAGUAGGCGUGGUGGCCAAAGUCAGAUUUCAGCUCAGGCUUCAGCUCACCACGGUGCAAUUCAGGUCAGUUCCGAGUUUUGGUUUGGGCCUCGGUCAAAAUAGGUCAACUGUUAGUCAACAGGUCAACACCAGUCAAACAUCAUCUCGGGUCACUUUCAAGCAUGCGGUUUAGUUUGGUUCGGGUUCGGUUCACUUCAAAUUUGUUUCGGUUCAACCGAUCCAGAUUCGGUUCAGUCAACACGGGUCUAGGUUCGAGUCAACUCAAUCAAACGGGGUGACCCGGUCAACACUCGGUCAACAGCAGUCAACGCCCGGUCAACUCACGAGACCCGGAAUACUAUAGAUGCACGCUAGCUAAUUCACGUUCUUGGAACGGCACUACGGAAUCACACUAAGCUAGCUUUGCACAGGAAUAUCCAGGUUAAAUUUUUCAAACUACUGAACGGUUGGAAUAGGAGAACCCAUGGGAUUUCGAGCACUUAACAGGCGUUCAAUUUCUAGGAGUCUUAGCAUUAUUAGCUUCCGCUGUGCAAUGAAGAUACCGGUCCAGUCACGCCAGCUCUGAUAUUUCGGGGUGUGAAAGAUUGGUAUCAGAGCUAUAGGUUUCAGCGAAUUAGGUUUCUGUAGAGAUACCUAGGCUUUAACCUCACUUUUCUCUGGGGACUUAGAUUAUUAAGGCUUUGAAUACAUAUAGAACGCCUAGGACUCGAAUAUGGGUUCCAACCGUUGCCGAAACAAUGAGCAAACGUUUUGGUUUUAAAAAUACACAAGUGUUGUGUUUGAUACACGGUAUUACACACAGUAAGCGAAACCUUGAGGGUUUUGAUGACAUGCAUUUAGGACCUUCGGAAAACUUAUGUCGAAACUCAUUAAAGGUCCUCACGUAGGAGUCGUGAUUAUUAACUCGAGCACAUGCCAUUAUAUUACGUCGUCUGUGCUAUUUUAAUUACCCGAGUAGGUAACCUACGUGGAACGAAAUGCUGUUACACAACUAUACGUGAAACUUAAACUAUACGUCAGCGGACGUCGAAGUACAUCACACACAAUUUUCGAGGCAAGGCCUUAGGGAAAACACAAAUGGGCACGACAACAACAAUGCUAAUCUCGUCAGCGGGAGAACAACAAUCGAAGUGCCAUACUUUGCCACGUGAUCAGGCAAACGACAUGAAUCAUGCCAAGGUACGUUCAAGUGAGGGCUUCGCAAACUAAUGGAAAUCACGAUUGUUGGCACCGCAACGGAAACUACAAGUCUUCACAUCUCCCCACUCCCUGAAUGGCGAUUACGCCAAGAUUGACAUUUCGUGGUAAUGUCGCUUAACAACUCAUCAUCACACGAACUUCCAGGUAAAGUCCUCAAAUUUCUUUUAUUGAAAUUCUGAAGUUUUGCAUAUAGUGAGUAGAUUUUUGCAUUUCUACUCCCCCUAAUGAUCAUUGCAUCACGAAAAUUCUCUUUCAUAAUAGCGAAUACUCACUUGCUUCAUUCUUGACGAAUUCAUAUGUUACACAUGCGUUGUUUGUUACGCAUGUGGCUUCACUUGAAACUGUUGCUUUAUCAAGUUCAAAUAUUAUUUAGCUAUACUCACUCCUUGCAUUGUGAUCUAGAUAAACCGCAUUAUUGCAUAAUGUUGACUCUUUGAUAUCGAGUCAACGAAACUCGUUGAAACUCCUUUUUUUCAAGCCACAUACAUGGUUUUCGUUGUAACCAUGUCGAAACCUUCUAGUUUAUACAUGUAUCCAUUGUUGGAUUGUGUUUAAACCAAGUUCAAUUGUUUGAACUUGCUCGUAAUAUACAUUCAAUUCAAGCUUCCAUAUGAUGGAUUGAAGCCAUCAUAUUCAACUUAUUCCCAACAAGCACUUCAUUUGUUUUGAAUUGUAACAAGCUUAUUUGGUCUUUAACUUAUUUAAAUCGUUUCUUUGAUCACGAUCACCUUGUGGUGGCGUCUUUCACAAGUUUGAAGCUUGCGCUAAUCUCGUUGCUCACAUCAUGUACGGAUUUAAUUAUUUAUUUAUUUGUUUGCUGAUAUUAAAUCCGCUUUGUUGGUUUAUCAUAUUAAAACAAUCUUAACACAAUCGUGUGUUAAGAUAAUGGUACACAAAUUUAUGUCAUAUUCUGGUGUACUUCUUAACGGUUCAUUCAUCAUUGAUCGAACAUUUUGCGAUAUUUAGCGCUCUUUCAUCUUCGAUCGAAAAACAUUAUUUAUUAAUUUCAUUAUCAAUAUAAAAUCAUAUGGGAUUUGUUUGGAACAAACAUUCACAUCUACCUCGUUGAACCUUCAUUUGGUUUAAACAUGGUGAUACUUGUUUGAUCACCGCUAUUAUUGAAUUAUUUCAUUCACUACGACACCUUGUGGUGUCGGUAAAACUUGUAGCUUGUGCUAAUCACUAUCGGUCGUUUCAUGCGAAACUAUAUAUGCUUUUCGUCUGACACUUCGUUUAAGUAGUCUUAAGGCAACUAUGUAUUAAGACGAUGAUACACCAGGUUCGGUUGUAUUUCAUUUCGGUGUAUCCCUGCAACUCAACAAUGACAACACGUUGAUUUUAUCUUAUUCAUUUAUUGGUUCAUUAGUUGACAAAUCAUUUCAUGAUACUAUCCAUUUGUGCUUGUUGAUUCAAGUUUCAAUCAUACCACAACCAACGCAAGUUUCCGUUGGUAGAAAUUUCGAUUGUUCCAAAAUUGAUUUACAUAUUAUGAACGUUCAUUUGGAAUUCUAUUGGUCGAGAUUCCUCUUUUGUUGGACCCCCGUAAACAUAUUCACAUUGGUGAUAGUAUCACUACGCUUCGUUCACUCGACAUCGAUUUCUGGAACAAACUCAGUUGAACCGUUGGGUUCUUAUUGAUGCAAAAUGUCCUAACACUCAUGUAAUCUGAAUAAGUCUUGAUUUGAUUACGCGGUCAUUCAUUUUGGUAUUAUUCAGACUUACCUGUGAACAACACAACUCUAAGGAGAUAACAUAGACUAAAUUUCGAGGACGAAAUUUCUGUAACAGGGGGAGAAUGUGACAACCGAAAAAUUUUCAGGUUAUUCCGUACGAUCUAAUCACUGUUUAUUUAAAUAAUUACGUGCAUUUAGACUUGAUUAUGUAUUCACUGAGUCCAUAAAGUCUAGCAUUGUCUGGGGAUAUGCAUGGGUUAUUGCAUUCGGUAUCGUCUUAUCGCGAAAUGAUAAGUGUAUAUAUAU
This is a long non-coding RNA of Helianthus annuus (common sunflower), 3935 nucleotides long. RefSeq lists it as uncharacterized. NCBI's taxonomy places the organism in Eukaryota, Viridiplantae, Streptophyta, Magnoliopsida, Asterales, Asteraceae. The record is from RefSeq and is a predicted model, not a curated record. The transcript is spliced from 3 exons.